GGUGAGCAUAUAGAGCUCAGCAAGUGACUAACAUAUCCAUGUCAAAAGAGGACAAUUUCCAAAGAGAUAAAGUUUCGAAAUACAAGGCAGAAUAUAAGAAUUCGUAGACGUAAUAUCAUUAGGUGCAGAAUCACAAUUGUCAUUUCAAUCAAACAUAUUUGGUUCAUAACAGAGGGGGCAUAGAGUAAUUGGAGCAUAUCAACCACGAAUGAAACGUUUCGGAGCAUAUCAAUAACAAAUGAAACAUUUCGGAGCUUAUCAAUGACGUAUGAAAUGUUCCAGAGCAUAUCACGGUGUAGUAUGGAACAUUUCGAAGCAUAUCAACAAUAAA
RNAcentral lists this long non-coding RNA (331 nucleotides) under Musa acuminata (dwarf banana). RNAcentral's name for it is "long non-coding RNA (MACU_LNC011824)". Lineage: Eukaryota; Viridiplantae; Streptophyta; Magnoliopsida; Zingiberales; Musaceae. The record is from RNAcentral.